UACAGGGGGGGCAAGCGUUGUUCGGAAUUACUGGGCGUAAAGGGCUCGUAGGUGGCCAACUAAGUCAGACGUGAAAUCCCUCAGCUUAACUGGGGAACUGCGUCUGAUACUGGAUGGCUUGAGUCUGGGAGAGGGAUGCGGAAUUCCAGGUGUAGCGGUGAAAUGCGUAGAUAUCUGGAGGAACACCGGUGGCGAAGGCGGCAUCCUGGACCAAUACUGACACUGAGGAGCGAAAGCCAGGGGAGCAAACGGG
Molecule: ribosomal RNA, 253 nt
Filed under: uncultured bacterium
Lineage: Bacteria
Description: partial 16S ribosomal RNA
Rfam family: Bacterial small subunit ribosomal RNA
Source: RNAcentral